CCAGCAGAAUUACUCAAGAACUGACUACUCUGAGCUGACUGAAUAUGUGAUACUCACACCUUGUGAGUUUACUUUUCUGCACCAAGGCAGUGAAGGACCCUCCUCUCCAAGUCUUACAGAUACAUGGUUCAACCGGUAUUGGACAGCACUAGCGCAAGAAAUAUAGUAGAGCAAAUUCUCACUUCCAAGCCAUCAGGAAUGACUGUGAUCAAGGAGUAUGAAGAGACUGGGA
Long non-coding RNA from Trichomycterus rosablanca, 232 nucleotides. RefSeq lists it as uncharacterized. The transcript has 3 exons. Lineage: Eukaryota; Metazoa; Chordata; Actinopteri; Siluriformes; Trichomycteridae. The record is from RefSeq and is a predicted model, not a curated record.